Molecule: ribosomal RNA, 143 nt
Filed under: Apicomplexa sp.
Lineage: Eukaryota; Apicomplexa
Description: partial small subunit ribosomal RNA
Rfam family: Eukaryotic small subunit ribosomal RNA
Source: RNAcentral
AGUUGGUGGGGUGACCCGUCUGGUUAAUUUCGAUAACGAACGAGAUCCGAGCUGUUUAGUUGGCUGCGUCUGUCAAGGCAGGCGUACGUCUCCUAUAUGGACUUUCAGUUUGAGGCUGAAGGAAGUUUCGGGCUAAAUCAGGU